Molecule: unclassified non-coding RNA, 1054 nt
Filed under: Leishmania donovani
Lineage: Eukaryota; Euglenozoa; Kinetoplastea; Trypanosomatida; Trypanosomatidae
Description: gene:LdHU3.30.0070(CDS-product:cyclophilin_9_puta tive)
Source: RNAcentral
GAUGCGUGCUCGAUGUGCGCCUCUCUCUGUACACGCACACACGCUUCUCCCCUUCUUUACUGGCGCAGCUUCGUCUUCUUUUUCUUUUGUUCCCUGCCGCCUGAAGAACACCGGAAUUCGGUCUCGAGCAGCAUGCCCUUCCGGGUGCUGAAGCCGCGGAGGGACGCUCCGCAGGCAUUGCUGACGCCGCCAUCGCGUGAGCAGGUGUACAACAACAUCGAGGAGCGUCGCUUGAAGGAGUGGGAGAACUACCAAAAGGCUCACCGGUUCAUGGAGGAGACGCACACAAAUCGCAUUUUCCUCGACAUCGGCAUCGGUGAUGCAUUGGCGGGAAGACUCGUUGUGGAGCUCUUCGAGGAUGUCGUACCCGAAACCGCUGCACGCUUUCACCGCCUCGUUACCGGCGAAGGCGGUAUCCACGACGCAACUGGCGUCAAGCUGGACUACCUCUACACCCCUCUCGAGCUGAUUGACCGCCAGCACGGCUACGCGCGCUUUGGGGAUCUUUUGGCGUAUGGCGUGCGUCUUGAGCCUCUGCGACAGGAAACGUUCAAGGUGCGCCACACCAGCCGUGGACUGCUCACGAUGACGUCUUACGGGCCAAAUCUGUGCAACACGUCUUUCGCCAUCACUCUCGCCGCUGCGCCCUCUCUCGACUUCAAGCAGGUAGCGUUCGGCAAGGUGGUGGACGGGCUGCAUCUGCUGGAGAAGCUAGAGUCACUCCCGCUGGAUCAGGUGGGCCGCCCUCUAACACCAGUCAUGAUUGCGAUCUGUGGAACCCUUACGGGAGAGCGUCCCCCAGGCAAAUGGGCCUCGCCCCAAGACAGGACGGGCUGCGACGAGGAUCUUGCAUACGAAGCCAUCCAGUGAUGACGAGCAGUCAAGAGUCAAGCGCCUCCUUUCUCUGCGUUUGGAGAACUGCACAGACCCUGCUUGUCCACCCCUUUGUCGGCGUUCUCCCGCGUCUCCUUCUCCCCUCACCCCUUCCCUCCUCUCUUCUUGAACCAUUGCAACGAUGUUCUGUAUUUCUGCAUGACGCGGCACAGUCGCACAG